Molecule: long non-coding RNA, 4745 nt
Filed under: Nicotiana tabacum (common tobacco)
Lineage: Eukaryota; Viridiplantae; Streptophyta; Magnoliopsida; Solanales; Solanaceae
Description: long non-coding RNA (NTAB_LNC014092)
Source: RNAcentral
ACGGAGUCAUUUUUUUCACGGAGGCAGCUAGGAAAAGGGAUAGGACCACAGCAGAGAAACUAGAAAAUAAACUCUUACACAAAUCUUGUAACAAUGUCACAGUUUGCAUUUUAGACUGUUGUACAAUGUGACAAGUGAAUCAAUAAACUCGCCUGUAUGAUCAGUUUGCAUUUUUGACUGUUGUACAGUCGUCUAAACUCUUAAUAUCCAGGGUCUUCUGGUAGUCCACCAAACAUCCAACUCCAUGAUUUCAAAGACUUGUCCAAUGUUUGACAUAAAACCUGACAAGUACUUGUAAAUGUAUAGAUUGCAAUAUAGUAUUUUAGAGCUUUACGUACUACAAGAUGCACAACUUUCACAUGUCUAAUAUUUAUGCUUGAACAUACUUAAUUUAUCUUUGGAAAAUAAAUAUUAGUAUAAAAUAUUCAAAAUUUUUUAAAGGAACCGAACAAAUUGCAAAAGUUGCAAUGUUAAAGUAUCAUCAUUUUUUCAAAAAUGACAUACAAGAUUUCUCAAAAUAGUGUUGGAUGAUACGAUUUUAUUAGAAACUUAGAGGUCACGUGAAGGUUAAUGAAGGUCACAUAAAAACAUGAAAUACUAACGUAAUCGCAAUAAUUAAAAAUUCAAAAAUAUUUAAUAUUAGAAAUAGACGAGAAGGAUAAUUUGAACUUGAGAUUAGAUUAAAAUUAUGGUAAAAACACUCAACUAUAAUAGGACCACAAAUUAAAGUUUUACUAGGAUAUCUUAAAUAACAAUUGGAUAACAAAUUAACUAAUAAUUAGUUUAGCCAUAUGUCAUAACCAGAAAAAGCCACAUAUAACUUAUUUCUUAAUUAAUUAAUUAUAAAUAAGUAAAUCAAAAUAUUAGAAGUUUUACUAUAUAAUACUUAAAAAUAAUAUUAAUAAAUUUAAAUAAUUUUAUAUAUAUAUUAAAAAAAUUACAUGUUGAUUUAUAUUAUAUUAAAGGAUAUAAAUGGAUAAUGAUAUUAAAUAAAGAGAAAAGUUAAUGAAGGUCACAUGAAAACAUGAAAUACUAUAUAUUAGGUAACAUAAUAGCAAUAAUUAAAAAUCUACUAUGUAUUACUAAAAGGAGAGGAAAAAGCCUGCACAUUAAGUCAAGCGACAACCUCACAAUAAGCCACUUGACAAUUUAGGAUAAAGUUAGUUAGGUUAGAUAAUAAUUAGUUUUCUUUCUGAAUUUAUAUUUUCAAAAAUUUAAAUUAUGCAUUAUGUGCUGCUAAUAAUUAGUUACUCUCUUUGAGUUAACAAAUUUGGAUUUUUAAAAUUAUUCUAAAAUAAAAAAUGAACAUAAGAAAAACAAAACUGUCAAUUCAAAUUGGGGAGUAGUUUCUUUCUAAUAUGGUAGUCUAUACCUAUAAAAUACUACACAUAUUUUCUUAUAUAGAAAAUAAUUUGAUUUCGAAUUUAAAAAUAAAAAUAUUAUUUUGAAUUUAUAGAUGGAAAUAAAACAAAAGUCCAUUUCCUUAUGGAAAAUAAUGCAAAAAUAUCAAUUAUUAAGAAUAUCAGUAAAUUUAUGACAAAAUAGUAAGAUUACUUAUCUGUUUAUAUUUUUUAAAAAUUCAAAAUUAUAAUUUGAUUUAAAUAUGAUAGUAUUUUGAUUAUAUCUAAAAUUCAAAAUUAAAAAAAUCUAUAAUAUUAGUAAAAUGAGAUUUAAAAGAUAAGAAUAUUUCUAGGGUAAGACAAUAUGUAUCUAUGUUAUAUUAAAAGAGAAUUAUUGUCAAAAUAUUAAGCCAAUUGACAAGUUAAUAAAAGUCAUAUUAGUAAAUGUAUAGUACUAAGUAGGAGCGCACAUUUAGUUAGGGUUUACUAACGUGCACCAUCCAGAUGACUCAAUGAAAAUGACGACGAGCCCUACCUCACCUAAAACGCAAGCAGCAACGACUAGGUAGAUAACCCCUGAAUCUGGUAUUCCAUAGAGUCUAGCACCUCUACAGCUGACUCAAUAGAUGACAGGAAUGGGAGUGCACCAACGAUUUUGAAAGGGAAACCUUCGACAUCAGAAUUAGAAAGUCUAACGGAGGAAAUUGGAACGGAGAGUGCUCCAAUUCUUCUGCAAAAGGCCCCUAUGAUGCAAGCACAAGAAGUAUCACCGGAAUUGGAAGCUAAUGUCUCAGCUAAAGGGACUUCUAAUAAAUCUACCAUGAUUGACAUCGUCAAAGGAAACAGAACUCAGCAAACGAGUAUGAAAAUUGAUUACUUCCCCCUGUCUUAAAAGAUGUAGUCAAAGUUGCUAAGUUAAACUUAGUAGAGAUAGAGGAACAAAGCAAAAAAUGGUAAUCGGCUUUGAUUGGCUAUGUUAUAGGAGGUGACCCUUCAUUUAAGGAGAUGUUGAAAUAUGUCUAUGGAGUUUGGAACUUUGUCUGUACUCCACAACUGUUUUUGCAUAAUGAUGGUUAUUUCAUCUUCCGAUUUGAGAAUGAGGAAGACAAGAGCGCAAUCCUGAUGUCUGGACCCUAUAUGUUCAACUACAGACCCCUGAUAUUGAAGCAGUGGGACUAGGAUUUUCUAAUGGAGAAUGAACCAGCACAACUCAUCCCUCUGUGGGUCACAUUUCCUAAUUUGCCAAUUCAAUAUUGGGCGACAGAAAAUCUAGUAAGAUUGGCCAACUGUGUGGGAAAACCUAUAUGUGCGGAUAAGCUAACUUCAUAAGGGGCUAGGGUGUCCUAUGCUAGGAUACUCAUUCAAAUUGAUAUCUCCCAACCCCUACCUGAUGAGAUAUCAAUUUAAAUUCCUAAAAAGGGGGAAAGAAUGCAAGCUGUGGAGUAUGAAUGGCGACCUCUAUAUUAUCAAGACUGCCUGCGAAUUGGCCAAAGACAGGGGCUUGCAAGACAGUACCUGCAGAUCAUGCCCCUAUUGAGAAGCAGAAGCAUACCAGGAAGAAAGGGCAGAAGAAGCAGGAAUGGAUACCAAAGCAACCAGUACAACCAAAGGAGACUGAACCAACAGCUGUGAUCCCAAAAGUGGUCAACCAAGUCGAUCAACCAUCCUCUUCUACAAUUGAGGAUGAACAGGGUCAAAUCCACUCUAAAGACAGAGGGAAAGCAAAGAUGGAUCAACUUCGAAAGCCUUCACAAACUGAGGUUAUGGAAAGGAUAUUGACUCAAAACAGGUUUGGUGCUCUUAGAAUUCAGCCAGAAGUAACCACUAAUACAGUGGGAGGGACAUCCACUCCAAUAGUACAGAACCCCCAUGAUUUUCGGAUCAUGGAACAUUAGGGGGCUGAACAAGCCCUUCAAGCAGAAGGAAUUUAAAUCCUUCCUUCUUACAAAUAAAGUGGUUCUAAUGGGAUGUCUAGAGACUAAAGUUAGAGUUAAAGGGGUUGAAAAGGUAAAGAGGAAUCUAGGAAAAGAGUGAGAAAUUGCAACUGAUUACAUCUCAGCUCCAAAUGGAAGGAUCUGGUUAUACUGGAAGCCAUCACCUGUAGAGAUUAAAAUCCUAAUAACUGGAGCCCAAAUUGUCCAUUGUCAAGUUAAGGACAAAGGGUCACAGUUUAGCUGCCAUACCACCUUUGUAUAUGGUUUCAACACAGUGUCAGGUAGUGAAAAAAUCUGGUAACAGGCGAGGUUGAUCAAUACUACCAUGAUUGAACCUUGGAUAGUAUUAGGAGUCUUUAACAUAAUUUUGACAACUAAUAAUAGAAUUAAUGGGGGCACCUGUGCAACAGGCAGAUGUGCAAGACUUUCAGGAUUGUGUUGAAGAUAUAGGGCUUGGUCAAAUCUGUAGAAGAGGGUACCAAUAUUCCUGGUCUAACAAGCGUGAUCCUAAAGAUAGAAUUUACAGCCUUAUAGAUUGGGCCUUUGGUAAUAAAUACUGGUUCAAUAAAUACAACACCCUUGUGGUAUAUUAUCACCAACUAGGAUGCUCCCCAAUUCUAAUAUCUACUGAAGUGGCUAAACAUACACUGCCUCGACCUUUCAGACUCUUCAAUGUCCUGCUAAAAUAUGAAGCACCUGCAGCAACCACACAGUCUAUUUAGAGACAAAAUGUAUCUGGUCACACUGUGUAUGCAAUAUGCAAGAAGUUGAAACUCCUUAAAAUUGCUGUGACACAUAUGAAUAGAGAAGUGUCUAAGUUGGACCACAGAAUAGAGAAGUUACAUGGCAAGCUUCAAUCUGUACAAGAGAAGCUAGAAACUGACCUAUAUAAUCCUCUUCUCAUCAAGGAAGAGAAAGAAGUCUUAUUAACCCUGGAAAAAUGGUCAGAUAUUCGUGAAAGGGUACCUAGAAAAAAAAUCUAGAGCUACAUGGUUAAUGCAAGGAGACUCCAAUACAAAGUUCUUCUAUGCACAACUUAAAGCAAGAUAAACCAGGAACAACAUUGCCACUAUUUGUGAUAGCCAACGUGUGACACUAACAGAUCCUGACAGAGUGCAAAAAGAGUGUCAAUUUUUCCCAAGAUCUUCUAGGUACUAGUGCUGCAGAAUUACCAUGUAUUGACAUCAACAUUGUAAGGGAUGGACCUUGUCUCACUAGAGCACAACAGCUGGAACUUAUACAGUCUGUCACUAGUGAGGAUAUCACUUAGGUCCUCAAGGAUUUACCUAAUGAUAAAGCCCCACGAAUUGAUAGUUUUAUGAUGGUAGGCUAUAAUCUCAUGUUUUAGUCAAUUAUUACAUUCCAACUUAUUGUACUUCAAUUAAGUUUGGGUUUUAAUCGCUAGUGUUUUAUACUAAUUGUGUGUUUUAUGCCUUGUAAUAGUGAUUCUGAGCUAUGUAGAUGUUAUGGA